This 448-nucleotide ribosomal RNA is filed under the name uncultured bacterium. RNAcentral's name for it is "bacterial SSU rRNA". It matches the Rfam family "Bacterial small subunit ribosomal RNA", at positions 330 to 792 of the family's 1533-position model. The record is from RNAcentral.
GCCAGACUCCUACGGGAGGCAGCAGUGGGGAAUAUUGGACAAUGGGGGGAACCCUGAUCCAGCGACGCCGCGUGAGUGAAGAAGUAUUUCGGUAUGUAAAGCUCUCUCAGCAGGGAAGAAAGAAAUGACGGUACCUGACUAAGAAGCCCCGGCUAACUACGUGCCAGCAGCCGCGGUAAUACGUAGGGGGCAAGCGUUAUCCGGAUUUACUGGGUGUAAAGGGAGCGUAGACGGCGACGCAAGUCUGGAGUGAAAGCCCGGGGCCCAACCCCGGGACUGCUCUGGAAACUGCGUCGCUGGAGUACGGGAGGGGCAGGCGGAAUUCCUGGUGUAGCGGUGAAAUGCGUAGAUAUCAGGAGGAACACCGGCGGCGAAGGCGGCCUGCUGGACCGUGACUGACGUUGAGGCUCGAGAGCGUGGGGAGCAAACAGGAUUAGAUACCCUAGUA